This 111-nucleotide ribosomal RNA is filed under the name Acanthosepion pharaonis. The record is from RNAcentral. Lineage: Eukaryota; Metazoa; Mollusca; Cephalopoda; Sepiida; Sepiidae.
UACGGCCAUAUCACGUUGAAACACCGGUUCCCGUACGAUCACCGAAGUUAGCAACGUCGAGCCUGAUCUAUAUCUCGAUGAGUGACCGCUUGGGAAUACCAUGUUCUGUAA